AGACAAUGAGUUGGGCAUUGAAGUAGGAAUUUCUUAAACCUCAACCACGUUUCAUGGAUGGGUUCACCCUCCAAUCGCUUAAAACCUUGAAUGUUAUCUCUGAGUUU
Non-coding RNA from Solanum tuberosum (potato), 107 nucleotides. Lineage: Eukaryota; Viridiplantae; Streptophyta; Magnoliopsida; Solanales; Solanaceae. The record is from Rfam.